AGCCUGAAUCAGUGUGUGUGUUAGUGGAAGCGUCUGGAAAGGCGUGCGAUACAGGGUGACAGCCCCGUACACAAAAAUGCACAUAUUGUGAGCUUGAUGAGUAGGGCGGGACACGUGGUAUCCUGUCUGAAUAUGGGGGGACCAUCCUCCAAGGCUAAAUACUCCUGACUGACCGAUAGUGAACCAGUACCGUGAGGGAAAGGCGAAAAGAACCCCGGCGAGGGGAGUGAAAAAGAACCUGAAACCGUGUACGUACAAGCAGUGGGAGCACGCUUAGGCGUGUGACUGCGUACCUUUUGUAUAAUGGGUCAGCGACUUAUAUUCUGUAGCAAGGUUAACCGAAUAGGGGAGCCGAAGGGAAACCGAGUCUUAACUGGGCGUUAAGUUGCAGGGUAUAGACCCGAAACCCGGUGAUCUAGCCAUGGGCAGGUUGAAGGUUGGGUAACACUAACUGGAGGACCGAACCGACUAAUGUUGAAAAAUUAGCGGAUGACUUGUGGCUGGGGGUGAAAGGCCAAUCAAACCGGGAGAUAGCUGGUUCUCCCCGAAAGCUAUUUAGGUAGCGCCUCGUGAAUUCAUCUCCGGGGGUAGAGCACUGUUUCGGCAAGGGGGUCAUCCCGACUUACCAACCCGAUGCAAACUGCGAAUACCGGAGAAUGUUAUCACGGGAGACACACGGCGGGUGCUAACGUCCGUCGUGAAGAGGGAAACAACCCAGACCGCCAGCUAAGGUCCCAAAGUCAUGGUUAAGUGGGAAACGAUGUGGGAAGGCCCAGACAGCCAGGAUGUUGGCUUAGAAGCAGCCAUCAUUUAAAGAAAGCGUAAUAGCUCACUGGUCGAGUCGGCCUGCGCGGAAGAUGUAACGGGGCUAAACCAU
Molecule: ribosomal RNA, 877 nt
Filed under: Shigella sonnei
Lineage: Bacteria; Pseudomonadati; Pseudomonadota; Gammaproteobacteria; Enterobacterales; Enterobacteriaceae
Description: partial 23S ribosomal RNA
Rfam family: Bacterial large subunit ribosomal RNA
Source: RNAcentral